Molecule: ribosomal RNA, 515 nt
Filed under: uncultured bacterium
Lineage: Bacteria
Description: partial 16S ribosomal RNA
Rfam family: Bacterial small subunit ribosomal RNA
Source: RNAcentral
UGGGGAAUUUUGGACAAUGGGCGCAAGCCUGAUCCAGCCAUGCCGCGUGCGGGAAGAAGGCCUUCGGGUUGUAAACCGCUUUUGUCAGGGGAGAAAUCUUCUGAGUUAAUACCUCGGGAGGAUGACGGUACCUGAAGAAUAAGCACCGGCUAACUACGUGCCAGCAGCCGCGGUAAUACGUAGGGUGCAAGCGUUAAUCGGAAUUACUGGGCGUAAAGCGUGCGCAGGCGGUUUUGUAAGACAGAGGUGAAAUCCCCGGGCUCAACCUGGGAACUGCCUUUGUGACUGCAAGGCUUGAGUGCGGCAGAGGGGGAUGGAAUUCCGCGUGUAGCAGUGAAAUGCAUAGAUAUGCGGAGGAACACCGAUGGCGAAGGCAAUCCCCUGGGCCUGCACUGACGCUCAUGCACGAAAGCGUGGGGAGCAAACAGGAUUAGAUACCCUGGUAGUCCACGCCCUAAAACGAUGUCAACUGGUUGUUGGGGAAGGUUCCCUUCUCAGUAACGUAGCUAACGCGU